GAGACAGACGCUCCCAGGUGUUCUGUAUUCAGGUCACCUCUGGGUGCAGGGUGGCUGCUGCUCCCCUGGGCUCUGUGUCCCAGGUCCUGCGAUGCCUGACAAAGGCUGCAGCCAGAUCACUGGGGCACAUGCGAGGAGGAAACAGAAUGGACAGGCCGCAACAUGCCAAGCCACUAAAAGGAUUGACGCUUUAUUCUUCAGAGGAGAAAUACCAUUGUGGGGUCUACGGACCUCUAUCUAAGGCUUGUUAAAACAAAACAGAGAUGCUUAUGCUCUGGAAAGACGCCCGGGAUCCACUGGGCAGAAUGGCAAAGGAAAGAUCCCCAGCACGGAGCUCAGACAGAUGUCCUCGGCGGAGCUGAGUGCGGGGGUACAGGGUGUGGGGGUGCAUCAGUUGUGCUCUGACAGGUGCACAGGGUCCCCUUUCCCUUUGGCACCUCGGCUGCCUGUGCUUCUGGACCAACUGCCUGUUGAGAAAGCCUCUCUGUGUCCAGAAGUGAACUAUGAAAGGCCCUGAGUGGAUGGACUAUAUGCAAGGCACAGGAAGGAGGCCAAGCCCUCAGGAGUGGCAUCCAUGUGCAUUUGGGGCAGAGUGACGACUGGAAAAGACUGACCACGGCCCAGGCUCCCUGCCUUUCAGCUGCCAGUCUGCUGGGAAGUCACUUCCAUGAGGGUGGGGAGAGGUGAUGGCUAUUGACACCCAAGUUACACCUACCAAUGACCCAGUGGCUUCGGGCCUCACAGGCAGUGAGUGGACAUCUAGGCACCUGGAAUGCACCUCUAGGGCUCUGUGCCCGGGCUCUGAACAAGGAGAGAAGCCGCCGGCCCUCCUCCUGACCACUUCACCUCCGGCAGGAGACUAAUGAUGCACCUAAGUUAAUUCACUCGACUCUGGGACUAUGAGGCAGUUCAUCCACACGCUCCAAACUCCAGCUUAUUGUAGGAGACCAGUGCCUCGAUCUCAUGAGGUCAUCUCGACGCCUCAGCUGUAACCCUUGGAGAACCUGUGGUCUCUGCUCCUCUGCCUGCUGACAUGAUCAUCCCAGGUGCAAAACAGACAUUCUACAGAAACAAAAAGAAGCGACCACCAAAAGGAGGGAAAAACCAGGAGCGCACACGUUUCUGACAAGGUCUUCUCUGGAAAUGAGUCAGGUGUGCUCAUGAACUGAGUGAAAAACCACCACACCCAGCUCGCUAAGAGAUGCAUCUCAGAGCAAUCAUAACUUUUUAUGUCCAACAAUUAUCAAAGUAUGUAAUGUAUCCUAAUUGCUUGAUGUGAACAAGUGAUAAUUAUGAUAAUAAUUCCAUCCAACAAGUAAUGAUUAUGGCCUUAUGGUCACCGGAAGUUAAAAAGAAAAGACCUUUAAAAUAUUUCCAAGAUUAAAUGACGUUAGGACAGAAUUCUGGGGUGACGGGCGGACAAAUGGAAUGUAAAUAUCAGCUCGAGGAGGAAAAGGAAGGAUGUAAAGCUAAGAAGAACUUGUUCCAGAAAUGUUUAACUGGGCAGUGGUAAGUAUCAAAUUGCCACAAUACUUAGAUAUCAUAGGAUUAUGUAAUACUUUUAUUUUAAAAUAAAUAUGCUAAAAACUUAUUUUGUACAGCUUUGAAUUAAUGAGAAAAACUUUAGGUGACAACUUAAAAAUGUGUAGGGGAAACAUGAUUUUUCAAAAAUUAUCUUAGGGAUUCAUGAGCAAAAACUACUUGAGGACAGAUGGCCCAGUGUCCUCUGUCUUGGCAUGACUUGGCAAGGUCCCCUCACAUAAAGGCCACUUUAUAAUGAGACUUUCUCUCUUUGGCCACCAAAUUGCUCCUUAAAAUAUUUGAAAGCUGUGGGUCUUAGGUAGAAACUUGCCUGAUGCAGCCAUGUUAAGACCUAGGGCUGAAGUUAGGCACCAGGCUGCUUUCGAAAUUUUUUUUCUUUUAACAUUUACUUUCCUUCAUCAUCUUUUUACAUUUUUAGUCUUUUUGGUUCUGCCCCAUAUGAUCUGCAGGAAAGAGCUGGCUUUUAUCUCCAGGUCUGAAAUGGGUUUGUGCAUUUGCUGGACGGCCCCAACCUUGGUGGUGGCUCCACGGCUGUGAUGGGGCAGCUGCCCGCUGUGUCCUGGCCACUGUUUCUGAGAGCCAGGGCUUUGCCCAGUUGGCCUGCAGGGUGAGAGGCAUGAGGACCUACUCUCCAGACACCCACCCAGUCGCCUGCUGCUGCACCCAAGGAGGCAGCGGGGCUGUUCCUUCUUUGUUAGGACUGGACAAGACCCAGGUUUUGAGGGCCACAGGCUGUAGGAUUCUGUAUGAUGCUUCGCCACCCCAGCAAGUGCCACACCUCCCUGGACUGGAUUGAGAUGGCAGCUCUUCGGCCCCUUUCCAGGUGCAUCUCUCCCUGCAGGGCCUGCAGAGGCAGCCCCUCAUUGGAGGCCCCCCUGCUGGUCCAGACUCUCAUCCUUUCCACCAUGGCCCCCAGCAGCCCUCCUGUCUGCAACCUGGGGUCCUUCCAUCCAUUCUCUGCACAGCGACCAGAAGCUUUUCGAGAGGGACGUCUGACAGUGCUCCUCCUGGGUCCUGCAGGAUGGCGGGCAAACUCCUUGGCGUGUAGCGUGACAGUGACAUGUGGGCCCUCUGGAAUGCCAUGCUCCUGAUGUCUCUCCAUGUGUGGGCGCCCUGUGCUUGAUGGAAGGGGAGCUGUGGGCACAGCCUUGACAGUCUAGGAGGGGGUGCCUCAGGGAGAAGGUGGGGCAGGGGUGCGCCCAGCAGCACUGGUGCAGGAACAGAGGCUGGAAACCAACUGCAUCUGGCGUUGCUUCAUGGACCCACCUGGGCACCACUGGUGGUAGGGGCUGUUUUUGCUUUCUUACAAAGACCCAAAUGAAGAGAGUAGGAGGUAGAGAAACCUAACUUUUGAUGCCAUAAAGGAGUGGGAACCAGGCUGCCUAGUGAUCCCAAGCUCCCACAUGCGCUUGCAGGCCGCUGUGGGGUGCUGUCAGCCAGUGUAGCCAGCUUCAACCCCGCCACACGCACGCUUUCUCUGCAUGGCUGUGGGGCUGCAUUGCAAGCCACACCGCAAUUUCGACUCCCACACGUCGAGUUGGCAUCCACGUCUCUAAGUGGGCCUGCCUUUCAUAUUUACAUUAAAGCCCGCAAUGUAUUCA
This 3143-nucleotide long non-coding RNA is filed under the name Homo sapiens (human). Its description in RNAcentral is "HSALNT0131144". The record is from RNAcentral. Lineage: Eukaryota; Metazoa; Chordata; Mammalia; Primates; Hominidae.